RNAcentral lists this ribosomal RNA (619 nucleotides) under uncultured bacterium. RNAcentral's name for it is "bacterial SSU rRNA". It matches the Rfam family "Bacterial small subunit ribosomal RNA", at positions 39 to 691 of the family's 1533-position model. The record is from RNAcentral.
GCGGCGUGCUAACACAUGCAAGUCGAACGAGAAAGUGGAGCAAUCCAUGAGUAAAGUGGCGACCGGGUGAGUAACACGUGACUAACCUACCUCCGAGUGGGGAAUAACUCCGGGAAACCGGGGCUAAUACCGCAUAACAUCGCAAGAUCAAAGCAGCAAUGCGCUUGGAGAGGGGGUCGCGGCUGAUUAGCUCGUUGGCGGGGUAACGGCCCACCAAGGCGAAGAUCGGUAUCCGGCCUGAGAGGGCGCACGGACACACUGGAACUGAAACACGGUCCAGACUCCUACGGGAGGCAGCAGUGGGGAAUUUUGCGCAAUGGGGGAAACCCUGACGCAGCAACGCCGCGUGGAGGAUGAAGCCCUUUGGGGCGUAAACUCCUUUCGACUCGGACGAUAAUGACGGUACGAGUGGAAGAAGCACCGGCUAACUCUGUGCCAGCAGCCGCGGUAAUACAGAGGGUGCGAGCGUUGUUCGGAAUUAUUGGGCGUAAAGGGCGCGUAGGCGGUGCGGUAAGUCACCUGUGAAAUCUCCUGNCUUAACUGGGAGCCUGCAGGCGAAACUACCGUGCUGGAGUGUGGGAGAGGUGCGUGGAAUUCCCGGUGUAGCGGUGAAAUGCGU